Molecule: ribosomal RNA, 925 nt
Filed under: Alteromonas sp.
Lineage: Bacteria; Pseudomonadati; Pseudomonadota; Gammaproteobacteria; Alteromonadales; Alteromonadaceae
Description: bacterial SSU rRNA
Rfam family: Bacterial small subunit ribosomal RNA
Source: RNAcentral
GUCGAACGGUAACAUUUCUAGCUUGCUAGAAGAUGACGAGUGGCGGACGGGUGAGUAAUGCUUGGGAACUUGCCUUUAGGAGGGGGAUAACAGUUGGAAACGACUGCUAAUACCGCAUAAUGUCUACGGACCAAAGGGGGCUUCGGCUCUCACCUAAAGAGAGGCCCAAGUGAGAUUAGCUAGUUGGUAAGGUAAAAGCUUACCAAGGCGACGAUCUCUAGCUGUUCUGAGAGGAAGAUCAGCCACACUGGGACUGAGACACGGCCCAGACUCCUACGGGAGGCAGCAGUGGGGAAUAUUGCACAAUGGGGGAAACCCUGAUGCAGCCAUGCCGCGUGUGUGAAGAAGGCCUUCGGGUUGUAAAGCACUUUCAGUUGUGAGGAAAGGUUGGUAGUUAAUACCUGCCAGCUGUGACGUUAACAACAGAAGAAGCACCGGCUAACUCCGUGCCAGCAGCCGCGGUAAUACGGAGGGUGCGAGCGUUAAUCGGAAUUACUGGGCGUAAAGCGCACGCAGGCGGUUUGUUAAGCUAGAUGUGAAAGCCCCGGGCUCAACCUGGGAUGGUCAUUUAGAACUGGCAGACUAGAGUCUUGGAGAGGGGAGUGGAAUUCCAGGUGUAGCGGUGAAAUGCGUAGAUAUCUGGAGGAACAUCAGUGGCGAAGGCGGCUCCCUGGCCAAAGACUGACGCUCAUGUGCGAAAGUGUGGGUAGCGAACAGGAUUAGAUACCCUGGUAGUCCACACCGUAAACGCUGUCUACUAGCUGUUUGUGAAUUUAAUUCGUGAGUAGCGAAGCUAACGCGAUAAGUAGACCGCCUGGGGAGUACGGCCGCAAGGUUAAAACUCAAAUGAAUUGACGGGGGCCCGCACAAGCGGUGGAGCAUGUGGUUAAUUCGAUGCAACGCGAAGAACCUUACCUACACUUGA